GAGAGAGAAAGAGAGAGAGAGAGUGGACUCCAUUGGAUUUCAAGAACAAAACAUAAAGGCAGCAAAAGGAGGGUGUCAAGACAAAGAGAUCUGGCCAGGAAAUUUUCUUUUCUUUUUCUUUUCUUUUCUCUUUAGUAACAACUUCAAGAAACCUUCAUGGCUCCUCUAUCUCUCUUAUCUCUAUAAAGAAAUCUUCACUGAGAUUAUCACCACCAAAAGACGCCAAGAAAAGAUACAGAGAGAUAUCUUAGUUUCUAUUGCUUACUUACCCCCACCAAGAACCACUGAAUUAUAAAGUUACAUACCACCACGCACCAAUGCUGCUUCUUAGAAAUUCCUUAUCCAACACCAAAAAGUUCUUCCAGAAAUCCCUAGAAAGCUUCAAGUCUUUAUUUUCUGGUGGUUCUUACCAGAGGAUGCCCAAAACCUCCCCUUAUAAUAAUCCAUGUUCUUACAGUCAUCUCGCCACCGAUAUGAAUGUCCAAAGAAGCUUCAACACCAAAGAUUUGGACACGUUCUACAAUGACUUCAACGACCGGUGGGACACCAGUGAGGGGAAAGCAAAUAGAAGAAGCAAGAAGAAAAGAACACCACCAUCAUCACCAAUCAAACAAGAAAAUGAUGAGCUAAAGGGAAGUUUCAUGAAGUUUUCCAAGGCAAUUCCUGUCAAGGAUUAUCAGAUAAAAAGAGGAGAGGACUACAAUUAUAAUCAUAAAAACAAAGUGAAGGAUUUUCACGCAGGGAAAAGAUGGCAGGAAAAUAGUUCAAAUUAUAAGGAUACAAGAGAUCAGGGAAGGGGUUGGUUGGUGGCACAGAAGCUAAAAGAGGUAGAGAUGAUGGAUAUUAGCAAUGUGGAUCAUGUCCUGGACGUAGAAGAGGUUCGCCAUUAUUAUUCUCGCCUGACUUGCCCUGCCUAUCUGGACAUUGUAGACAAGUUCUUCAUGGACAUGUACGCAGAAUUCUUUGGUCCACCUAGAUCCCCACGCAGUGUGAAUUCCAGGCAAAUUAGGCUGCCUUCACAGAGAUCAUAGACUUUUCUCCUUUCAUGGAGAGCAACUGGGAAUUUCUGAUAAUAUUUCAGGUUGUCAUUAAUUUUUUUUUUUUUUUCAAAUAUUUCACUUACUCAUAUAUAAUAUUU
RNAcentral lists this unclassified non-coding RNA (1138 nucleotides) under Hevea brasiliensis (rubber tree). Lineage: Eukaryota; Viridiplantae; Streptophyta; Magnoliopsida; Malpighiales; Euphorbiaceae. The record is from RNAcentral.